RNAcentral lists this ribosomal RNA (406 nucleotides) under uncultured bacterium. RNAcentral describes it as "partial 16S ribosomal RNA". It matches the Rfam family "Bacterial small subunit ribosomal RNA", at positions 30 to 526 of the family's 1533-position model. The record is from RNAcentral.
AUCGAACGCUGGCGGCAGGCCUAACACAUGCAAGUCGAACGAGUGGCGGACGGGUGAGUAAUGUCUGGGAAACUGCCCGAUGGAGGGGUAUAACUACUGGAAACGGUAGCUAAUACCGCAUACCAUCGGAUGUGCCCAGAUGGGAUUAGCUAGUAGGUGGGGUAACGGCUAACCUAGGCGACGAUCCCUAGCUGGUCUGAGAGGAGGACCAGCCACACUGGAACUGAGACACGGUCCAGACUCCUACGGGAGGCAGCAGUGGGGAAUAUUGCACAAUGGGCGAAAGCCUGAUAGAGCCAUGCCGCGUGUAUGAAGAAGGCCUUCGGGUUGUAAAGUACUUUUAGCGAGGAGGCGGUACCUGAAGAAGAAGCAACGGCUAACUCCGUGCCAGCAGCCGCGAUAAUUC